Molecule: ribosomal RNA, 253 nt
Filed under: uncultured bacterium
Lineage: Bacteria
Description: partial 16S ribosomal RNA
Rfam family: Bacterial small subunit ribosomal RNA
Source: RNAcentral
UACGGGGGGGGCAAGCGUUGUUCGGAAUUACUGGGCGUAAAGGGCUUGUAGGUGGCCAACUAAGUCAGACGUGAAAUCCCUCGGCUCAACCGGGGAACUGCGUGUGAUACUGGCGGGCUUGAAUUCGGGAGAGGGAUGUGGAAUUCCAGGUGUAGCGGUGAAAUGCGUAGAUAUCAGGAGGAACACCGGUGGCGAAGGCGGCUUCCUGGACAAUUACUGACGCUGAGACGCGAAAGCGUGGGGAGCAAACAGG